GUGUUUGCUUCGGCAGCACAUAUACUAAAAUUGGAAUGAUACAGAGAAGAUUAGCAUGGCCCCCGUGCAAGGAUGAAAUGCAAAUUCGUGAAGCAUUCCAUAUUUUU
Molecule: small nuclear RNA, 107 nt
Filed under: Physeter macrocephalus (sperm whale)
Lineage: Eukaryota; Metazoa; Chordata; Mammalia; Artiodactyla; Physeteridae
Source: RNAcentral